RNAcentral lists this transfer RNA (65 nucleotides) under bovine gut metagenome. It matches the Rfam family "tRNA", at positions 6 to 65 of the family's 71-position model. Rfam says of the family: Transfer RNA (tRNA) molecules are approximately 80 nucleotides in length. Their secondary structure includes four short double-helical elements and three loops (D, anti-codon, and T loops). Further hydrogen bonds mediate the characteristic L-shaped molecular structure. tRNAs have two regions of fundamental functional importance: the anti-codon, which is responsible for specific mRNA codon recognition, and the 3' end, to which the tRNAs corresponding amino acid is attached (by aminoacyl-tRNA synthetases). tRNAs cope with the degeneracy of the genetic code in two manners: having more than one tRNA (with a specific anti-codon) for a particular amino acid; and 'wobble' base-pairing, i.e. permitting non-standard base-pairing at the 3rd anti-codon position. The record is from RNAcentral.
GUCGUAGCUCAGUUGGCUAGAGCAUCGGAUUGUGGCUCCGAAGGCCGUGGGUUCGAGUCCCAUUG